Molecule: ribosomal RNA, 212 nt
Filed under: uncultured bacterium
Lineage: Bacteria
Description: partial 16S ribosomal RNA
Rfam family: Bacterial small subunit ribosomal RNA
Source: RNAcentral
UACGAAGGGGGGCUAGCGUUGCUCGGAAUGACUGGGCGUAAAGGGCGCGUAGGCGGAUGGCACAGUCAGAUGUGAAAUUCCCCGGGCUUAACCUGGGGGGCUGCAUUUGAUACGUGUUGUCUUGAGUUCGGAAGAGGGUCGUGGAAUUCCCAGUGUAGAGGUGAAAUUCGUAGAUAUUGGGAAGAACACCGGCGGCGAGGACGGCGGCCUGG